This 1418-nucleotide long non-coding RNA is filed under the name Pan troglodytes (chimpanzee). RNAcentral describes it as "long non-coding RNA NONPTRT008972". The record is from RNAcentral. Lineage: Eukaryota; Metazoa; Chordata; Mammalia; Primates; Hominidae.
GAGAGGCAGGCAGAGGUCAGAUCACAUCAGGCCUGUAGGCCAAGGCGGAGGAAGAAACAGGUGAUAUAGGACUCAAGGACCACACCUGCUCCCAGGCGAAGGGAGUUUGCUGUGGGUGCCCCUCCCUGUCUGUGUGUCCAGUGUGUGGAUAUUCUUCAUACCUUGCCCAUAUUGAACAAAUACUUUUUUCUAUUCAAUAUUUAGAAGACAUUGCAUUAAAUAGCAAGAUGGCAGAUGAACAUCAGGAAGGAACAUUAGGAACAUCCACAGCGUUCCAUCCAGGAACCUUCACCAUGGAAACCCUUGUGCUCAUGGGCGUGGUCUCAAGACACAGUCAGCUGUUGGGGAUCAGCGGCCACACUCAUCGUAGCAGAGAGGCAGGACCAACUGGGGGAGGGUCCUUCUGUGACACCUACUGCAUCACCGGGCUGUGUGAAGUGACUCAGCUGCCAGAACUCACACAAUAUAAUUCUACACCAAACCUCACGGGAAAAAUGCUCCACAACCCUCAGACUUAAACAGCAGCACUGGCUCCCCUCCAGAUCUCCAGCUCCCUGACCUUCAAACUCCAACUCCAACACCAGCUCCGCCCCGGGUCUCCAGCUCCACAAUCCUCAAACUACAACAGCAGCACCAGCUCCCCUGGGGAUCUCCAGCUCAAUGACUCUCAGACUUGGGAGGCAGCUCCAGCUCCCACCAAGCCUCCAGCUCCACAACCUUCAAACUGGAAUAGCAGCACCAGCUACUCCCUGGGUCUCCAGCUCCCCCAAAAUUCAACUAUAGCACUGGCUGUUCCCCAGCGCCACCAGCUCCACAACCCUCAACUUACACGGUGGUAGCACCAGCUCCUCCCUAGGUCUCCAGCUACAUGACCAUCAAACUUGAACUGCAAUACCAGCUCCUCUUCGGCCUCCAGCUCCACAAUCCUCCAACAACAACAGCAACACCAGCUCCUCCCUGAAUCUCCAGCUCAACAACCCUCAGACUUGAGAGGCAGCACUGGCAUCUCCCCAAGGCUCCAGCUCCACGACCCUCAGAUUUGAACAGCGGUAGCACCAGCUCCUGUCCAGGUCUCCAGCUUCAUGAUCCUUAAACUAGAAUAGCAACACCACCACCUCCCUGGGUUUCCAGCUCCACGACCCUAAGACAUGAAUGGCAGGACCGGGUCCCCCCUAGGGCUCCAGCUUCAAGACCCACAGAUAUAGACGGCAGCACCGGCUCUUUCUGGGAUCUCCAGCUCCACGGCCUUCAAACAAGAUCAGCAGCACCAGCUCCCCUCUGGUUCUGCAGUUCCACAAUCCUCAGACAUGAACAAUAGCACCGGCUCUUCCUUGGGUCUCCAGCUUUGCUACCCUCAGACUAGAACAGCAACACUGGUUCCUCCCUGGGUCUCCAGCUCUACAAGUCUCAGACUUGAA